RNAcentral lists this transfer RNA (66 nucleotides) under Uroleucon sonchi. RNAcentral describes it as "tRNA-Phe". The record is from RNAcentral. Lineage: Eukaryota; Metazoa; Arthropoda; Insecta; Hemiptera; Aphididae.
AUUUAAAUAGCUUAAUUAUAGAGUAUUAUUAUGAAGAUAUAAGGGUAAAAUUAAUUUUUUUAAAUA